GGACGAACGCUGGCGGCGUGCUUAACACAUGCAAGUCGAACGAUGAAGCCCUUCGGGGUGGAUUAGUGGCGAACGGGUGAGUAACACGUGGGCAAUCUGCCCUUCACUCUGGGACAAGCCCUGGAAACGGGGUCUAAUACCGGAUACGACCUGCCGAGGCAUCUCGGCGGGUGGAAAGCUCCGGCGGUGAAGGAUGAGCCCGCGGCCUAUCAGCUUGUUGGUGAGGUAACGGCUCACCAAGGCGACGACGGGUAGCCGGCCUGAGAGGGCGACCGGCCACACUGGGACUGAGACACGGCCCGGACUCCUACGGGAGGCAGCAGUGGGGAAUAUUGCACAAUGGGCGAAAGCCUGAUGCAGCGACGCCGCGUGAGGGAUGACGGCCUUCGGGUUGUAAACCUCUUUCAGCAGGGAAGAAGCGAAAGUGACGGUACCUGCAGAAGAAGCGCCGGCUAACUACGUGCCAGCAGCCGCGGUAAUACGUAGGGCGCAAGCGUUGUCCGGAAUUAUUGGGCGUUAAGAGCUCGUAGGCGGCUUGUCACGUCGGGUGUUAAAGCCCGGGGCUUAACCCCGGG
Molecule: ribosomal RNA, 575 nt
Filed under: Streptomyces sp. C2-1
Lineage: Bacteria; Bacillati; Actinomycetota; Actinomycetes; Kitasatosporales; Streptomycetaceae
Description: bacterial SSU rRNA
Rfam family: Bacterial small subunit ribosomal RNA
Source: RNAcentral